GAUGAACGCUAGCGGGAGGCUUAAUACAUGCAAGUCGAGGGGUAACAGGGUUUUCGGACCGCUGACGACCGGCGCACGGGUGAGUAACGCGUACGGAACUACCUUAUACUGGGGGACACACACCGGAAACGGAGUAAAUACCCCAUAGUCUCGCAGGAGUAAAGCUUCGGCGGUAUAAGAUGUUCGUGCGUUAGAUUAGGUAGUUGGUGAGGUAAUGGCUCACCAAGCCGACGAUCUAUAGGGGGCGUGAGAGCGUGGACCCCCACACGGGUACUGAGACACGGACCCGACUCCUACGGGAGGCAGCAGUAAGGAAUAUUGGACAAUGGAGGCAACUCUGAUCCAGCCAUCCCGCGUGAAGGAUGACUGCCCUAUGGGUUGUAAACUUCUUUUAUGUGAGAAGAACCGUACUCUUGUAAGAGUGCCUGACGGUAUCACACGAAUAAGCACCGGCUAACUCCG
RNAcentral lists this ribosomal RNA (462 nucleotides) under uncultured Saprospiraceae bacterium. RNAcentral's name for it is "bacterial SSU rRNA". It matches the Rfam family "Bacterial small subunit ribosomal RNA", at positions 28 to 505 of the family's 1533-position model. Lineage: Bacteria; Pseudomonadati; Bacteroidota; Saprospiria; Saprospirales; Saprospiraceae. The record is from RNAcentral.